RNAcentral lists this ribosomal RNA (776 nucleotides) under uncultured Enterococcaceae bacterium. Its description in RNAcentral is "bacterial SSU rRNA". It matches the Rfam family "Bacterial small subunit ribosomal RNA", at positions 28 to 776 of the family's 1533-position model. Lineage: Bacteria; Bacillati; Bacillota; Bacilli; Lactobacillales; Enterococcaceae. The record is from RNAcentral.
GACGAACGCUGGCGGCGUGCCUAAUACAUGCAAGUCGAACGCCUUUUCUUUCACCGGAGCUUGCUCCACCGAAAGAAAAAGAGUGGCGAACGGGUGAGUAACACGUGGGUAACCUGCCCAUCAGAAGGGGAUAACACUUGGAAACAGGUGCUAAUACCGUAUAACAAGUAAAACCGCAUGGUUUUACUUUGAAAGGCGCUUUUGCGUCACUGAUGGAUGGACCCGCGGUGCAUUAGCUAGUUGGUGAGGUAACGGCUCACCAAGGCAACGAUGCAUAGCCGACCUGAGAGGGUGAUCGGCCACAUUGGGACUGAGACACGGCCCAAACUCCUACGGGAGGCAGCAGUAGGGAAUCUUCGGCAAUGGACGAAAGUCUGACCGAGCAACGCCGCGUGAGUGAAGAAGGUUUUCGGAUCGUAAAACUCUGUUGUUAGAGAAGAACAAGGAUGAGAGUAAAAUGUUCAUCCCUUGACGGUAUCUAACCAGAAAGCCACGGCUAACUACGUGCCAGCAGCCGCGGUAAUACGUAGGUGGCAAGCGUUGUCCGGAUUUAUUGGGCGUAAAGCGAGCGCAGGCGGUUUCUUAAGUCUGAUGUGAAAGCCCCCGGCUCAACCGGGGAGGGUCAUUGGAAACUGGGAAACUUGAGUGCAGAAGAGGAGAGUGGAAUUCCAUGUGUAGCGGUGAAAUGCGUAGAUAUAUGGAGGAACACCAGUGGCGAAGGCGGCUCUCUGGUCUGUAACUGACGCUGAGGCUCGAAAGCGUGGGGAGCAAACAGG